This 262-nucleotide ribosomal RNA is filed under the name uncultured prokaryote. RNAcentral describes it as "partial 16S ribosomal RNA". It matches the Rfam family "Bacterial small subunit ribosomal RNA", at positions 524 to 784 of the family's 1533-position model. The record is from RNAcentral.
UACGUAGGGUCCAAGCGUUAAUCGGAAUUACUGGGCGUAAAGCGUGCGCAGGCGGUUGUGCAAGACCGAUGUGAAAUCCCCGGGCUUAACCUGGGAAUUGCAUUGGUGACUGUACGGCUAGAGUGUGUCAGAGGGGGGGUAGAAUUCCACGUGUAGCAGUGAAAUGCGUAGAGAUGUGGAGGAAUACCGAUGGCGAAGGCAGCCCCCUGGGAUAACACUGACGCUCAUGCACGAAAGCGUGGGGAGCAAACAGGAUUAGAUA